AGUGAACGCUGGCGGUAUGCCUAACACAUGCAAGUCGAACGGCAGCGCAGUGAUAGCUGGCUCGUACGGGGGGCGAGUGGCGGACGGGUGGGGAAUACAUCGCAAUCUACUUUUUCGUGGGGGAUGACGUAGGGAAACUUACGCUAAUACCGCAGACGACCUCCGGGUGAAAGCAGGGGAUCUUCGGACCUUUCGCGAUUGAAUGAGCCGAUGUGGGAUUAGAUAGUUGGCGGGGUAAAGGCCGACGAAGGCGAGGAUCCGUAGCUGGUGGGAGAGGAGGAUAACCCGCCCGAGAACUUGGCCACGGUCCAGAGUACUGAGGGAGGCACCAGUGGGGAACAUUGGACAAUGGGCGGAAGCCUGAUCCAGCCAUAGCGAGUCGGUGAAGACGGCGUUCGGGUUGUGAAGACGUUCUGUUGGGAAAGAAACGCAGCAGGUUAAUAACCAGCUGUUCUGACGGUACCCAAAGAAUAAGCACCGGCUAACUUCGUG
Molecule: ribosomal RNA, 492 nt
Filed under: uncultured bacterium
Lineage: Bacteria
Description: partial 16S ribosomal RNA
Rfam family: Bacterial small subunit ribosomal RNA
Source: RNAcentral